RNAcentral lists this ribosomal RNA (659 nucleotides) under Ornithobacterium rhinotracheale. RNAcentral's name for it is "bacterial SSU rRNA". It matches the Rfam family "Bacterial small subunit ribosomal RNA", at positions 136 to 794 of the family's 1533-position model. Lineage: Bacteria; Pseudomonadati; Bacteroidota; Flavobacteriia; Flavobacteriales; Weeksellaceae. The record is from RNAcentral.
CAGGAGGAUAGCCCGGGGAAACUCGGAUUAAUACUCCAUAAGAUUUUGAUUGGCAUCAAUUAGGAUUGAAAGGUUUAUUGGAUAAGGAUAGGCAUGCGUCAGAUUAGUUAGUUGGUAGUGUAACGGACUACCAAGGCGAUGAUCUGUAGGGGGCCUGAGAGGGUGAACCCCCACACUGGUACUGAGACACGGACCAGACUCCUACGGGAGGCAGCAGUGAGGAAUAUUGGACAAUGGAGGGGACUCUGAUCCAGCCAUCCCGCGUGCAGGAAGACGGCCUUAUGGGUUGUAAACUGCUUUUGUAUGGGGAUAAAUCUACUUACGUGUAGGUAGUUGAAGGUACCAUACGAAUAAGCAUCGGCUAACUCCGUGCCAGCAGCCGCGGUAAUACGGAGGAUGCAAGCGUUAUCCGGAUUCAUUGGGUUUAAAGGGUCCGUAGGCGGGCUAAUAAGUCAGUGGUGAAAUUUUGUCGCUUAACGAUAAAACUGCCAUUGAUACUGUUAGUCUUGAGUGAUAUUGAAGUAGCUGGAAUGUGUAGUGUAGCGGUGAAAUGCAUAGAUAUUACACAGAACACCGAUUGCGAAGGCAGGUUACUAAGUAUUAACUGACGCUGAAGGACGAAAGCGUGGGGAGCGAACAGGAUUAGAUACCCUGGUAGU